RNAcentral lists this ribosomal RNA (327 nucleotides) under Triticum aestivum (bread wheat). Its description in RNAcentral is "partial small subunit ribosomal RNA". Lineage: Eukaryota; Viridiplantae; Streptophyta; Magnoliopsida; Poales; Poaceae. The record is from RNAcentral.
AUGACCAUCGCCGUGAUCAUCGCUGUCUUGAUCUGGGAACAAGGCGAGUUGGACAGGCGGUUUUGGAUUGGAAUUGGAGCCAGUGCCUCGCUUAGAUUUGGAGUGCUUGCUGUUGCUAGUAGAUCCACUGCCAAGGGAAAGGGCAGUCAUUUCCUCUAUUUCUUCUUCCAUCUCAGCCAUUUUUACUUCUCCCAAGGGAAAGUGCAUCUCUGCUGGUGGAUCUCAGCUGUGUUUCUUGGUUGGAAACCAUACCUCUAUCAGAGCAAAAACACGUAUAUAUUGUGGAGGAUGUGUGGCGGUUUUGUUGGUGGCCUCUUAAUUUGGUGA